This 140-nucleotide small nuclear RNA is filed under the name Mesocricetus auratus (golden hamster). RNAcentral's name for it is "U2 spliceosomal RNA (ENSMAUG00000007130.1)". It matches the Rfam family "U2 spliceosomal RNA", at positions 45 to 185 of the family's 192-position model. Rfam says of the family: U2 is a small nuclear RNA (snRNA) component of the spliceosome (involved in pre-mRNA splicing). Complementary binding between U2 snRNA (in an area lying towards the 5' end but 3' to hairpin I) and the branchpoint sequence (BPS) of the intron results the bulging out of an unpaired adenosine, on the BPS, which initiates a nucleophilic attack at the intronic 5' splice site, thus starting the first of two transesterification reactions that mediate splicing. The record is from RNAcentral. Lineage: Eukaryota; Metazoa; Chordata; Mammalia; Rodentia; Cricetidae.
CUUAUCAGUUUAAUAUCUGAUACGUCCUCUAUCCGAGGACAAUAUAUUAAAUGGGUUUUUGGAACUAGGAGUUGGAAUAGGAGCUUGCUCCGUCCACUCCACGCAUCGACCUGGUAUUGCAGUACCUCCAGGAACGGUGC